UACGUAGGGGGCAAGCGUUGUCCGGAUUUAUUGGGCGUAAAGAGCGUGUAGGCGGCCUGACAGGUCUGCUGUGAAAACUCGAGGCUCAACCUCGAGAUGUCGGCGGAAACCGUCUGGCUAGAGUCCGGAAGAGGAGAGUGGAAUUCCUGGUGUAGCGGUGAAAUGCGCAGAUAUCAGGAAGAACACCUAUGGCGAAGGCAGCUUACUGGGCCGAUACUGACGCUGAGGAGCGAAAGCGUGGGGAGCGAACAGG
Molecule: ribosomal RNA, 253 nt
Filed under: uncultured bacterium
Lineage: Bacteria
Description: partial 16S ribosomal RNA
Rfam family: Bacterial small subunit ribosomal RNA
Source: RNAcentral